Molecule: small RNA, 71 nt
Filed under: Mycobacterium parmense
Lineage: Bacteria; Bacillati; Actinomycetota; Actinomycetes; Mycobacteriales; Mycobacteriaceae
Also listed under: 2 other names
Description: Actinobacteria sRNA Ms_AS-8
Rfam family: Actinobacteria sRNA Ms_AS-8
Source: Rfam by way of RNAcentral
CUUGAUCAGACAAACCGAAUUCAGAGCACCCUCGGGAAGGCGGCGCCCCUUCAGGCUGCCUCACCGAGGCU